Molecule: unclassified non-coding RNA, 337 nt
Filed under: soil metagenome
Description: partial contains 5.8S ribosomal RNA, internal transcribed spacer 2, and large subunit ribosomal RNA
Rfam family: 5.8S ribosomal RNA (bases 1-120)
Source: RNAcentral
GAUGAAGAACGCAGCGAAAUGCGAUAAGUAGUGUGAAUUUCAGAAUUCAGUGAAUCAUCGAAUCUUUGAACGCACAUUGCGCCCCUUGGUAUUCCAUGGGGCAUGCCUGUUCGAGCGUCAUUUGUACCUUCAAGCUCUGCUUGGUGUUGGGUGUUUGUCUCGCCUCUGCGUGUAGACUCGCCUCAAAACAAUUGGCAGCCGGCGUAUUGAUUUCGGAGCGCAGUACAUCUCGCGCUUUGCACUCAUAACGACGACGUCCAAAAGUACAUUUUUACACUCUUGACCUCGGAUCAGGUAGGGAUACCCGCUGAACUUAAGCAUAUCAAUAAGCGGAGGA